This 117-nucleotide ribosomal RNA is filed under the name Pseudomonadota bacterium. RNAcentral also lists the same sequence under 1 other name. Lineage: Bacteria; Pseudomonadati; Pseudomonadota. The record is from RNAcentral.
CUCUGUGGCCAUGCCGAAGGGGAAACACCCGAUCCCAUUCCGAACUCGGAAGUUAAGCCCUUCAGGGCCGAUGGUACUGCCCUCGCAAGGGGGUGGGAGAGUAGGACGCCGCAGAGG